This is a non-coding RNA of Chelonoidis abingdonii (Abingdon island giant tortoise), 93 nucleotides long. NCBI's taxonomy places the organism in Eukaryota, Metazoa, Chordata, Testudines, Testudinidae. The record is from RefSeq and is a predicted model, not a curated record.
UCUCUCUCUGAGGGAGAGAGUCUGGGAGGGGCGAGAGUAGGAGGAGGGAGAGGUAAUUUUUCUCUGUUCUGUGAGAUUCCAGGAGUUGAAUCA